GACGAACGCUGGCGGCGUGCUUAACACAUGCAAGUCGAACGGUGAAGGUGGAGCUUGCUCCGCCGGAUCAGUGGCGGACGGGUGAGUAACACGUGGGCAACCUGCCCCUCACUUCGGAAUAACUCCGGGAAACCGGGGCUAAUACCGAAUACGACCUCCGUGGGCAUCCCGGGAGGUGGAAAGUUUUUCGGUGAGGGAUGGGCCCGCGGCCUAUCAGCUUGUUGGUGAGGUAACGGUUCACCAAGGCGACGACGGGUAGCCGGCCUGAGAGGGCGACCGGCCACACUGGGACUGAGACACGGCCCAGACUCCUACGGGAGGCAGCAGUGGGGAAUAUUGCGCAAUGGGCGAAAGCCUGACGCAGCAACGCCGCGUGCGGGAUGAAGGCCUUCGGGUUGUAAACCGCUUUCAGCAGGGAAGAAGCCGCAAGGUGGCGGUACCUGCAGAAGAAGCACCGGCUAACUACGUGCCAGCCGCCGCCGUAA
This 485-nucleotide ribosomal RNA is filed under the name uncultured bacterium. Its description in RNAcentral is "partial 16S ribosomal RNA". It matches the Rfam family "Bacterial small subunit ribosomal RNA", at positions 28 to 523 of the family's 1533-position model. The record is from RNAcentral.